This 703-nucleotide long non-coding RNA is filed under the name Homo sapiens (human). Its description in RNAcentral is "non-protein coding lnc-NCOA3-20:1". Lineage: Eukaryota; Metazoa; Chordata; Mammalia; Primates; Hominidae. The record is from RNAcentral.
UGCAGGGCGAGACUAUUCUGUCUCAAAAAAAAAAAAAAGAAGAAGGCCCUGUGGAUAAGGCUCAUUGAAUCAGCUGGCGUGACACAACCAUCCCUGAACCAAUCGCUGUGAUCAGUAGGGUAGGCUUCACUGAUCAGUCAGCCUUGGGUCUUGUGCCUCACACCCUCCCACCAGCACUGGUGGGGGAAUCUGCCCCAUCUGAAACAUGAACACUGGCAAUCAAGAAGGGAAAUAGCCGCAGGCAGGCAAAAACAACAGGUGUCCACGGCAAGCCUCUGUUCAUAUCCUCCCCUCUGCCUGGAGCCCAUGGUGGAAGUAUUUACACCACAGAAAUGGGCAAAUGCUGCAAACCAGGGCUGUUUUGUUUGUUUGUUUUUCCCUUGGAGAGCCUCUUUAUCAGCACAACACUGCCAGAGAGGGGUUUGAAAAGUUCCUCUGGUCAGAGGUCAAAGAGCACUGACAAUUAGCCCCAAGAAAUCAGAACAGCCAGGUAUGGUGGCUCAUGCCUGUAAUCCCAGCAGUUUGGGAGGCUGAGGCAGGAGGAUCUUGAGCUCAGGAUUUCGAGACCAGCCUGAGCAACAUGGUGAAACUCCAUCUCUACAAAAAAUACAAAAAAUUAGCUGCGUGGUGGUGUGUGCCCGUGGUUCCAACUACUUGGGUGGCUGAGGUGGGAGGAUUGCUUGAACCCGGGAGGUUGAGGCUU